AAACGUCUUGCCGGUCUGUGAAAAGUGAAGCAAGUGAAAAGUAGAAAAUUAACUUGGACUGUAAAAGUAGCAAAAUAAGGAACAAUAGAAUAUUAUUACACCAUCGCGGAAUCAUGUAUUGCAUUCAGCAAAAUGUCUUCCUUUACGAACGCUUCGCGAAUUAUUCAGAUAUUAAACAAUAACAACAGGGUCUGAUAGCGAUACAGAGGGCGAGAUCAAAACACAACUGACCAAGUCACAUAUAAUAUUCGUUUGCCGAGUGAUAAGUGCAUAAGUGAUAAGUGCUUUGAGUGAAUAUUACAAACGGGCACACGCGCACAUAAUUUUUGCUACUUCGAGCCGUAUUCCACGUCGACCGAUAACAGCAACGCUGCUUGGAAAGGAGGAGGAAUCAACCAAGACAUCGACGCAACAGUACCGCACGACGCUCAUUGCCAGCUAACGAGCAUCUGUCUUU
Bombus pyrosoma is the source of this 457-nucleotide long non-coding RNA. RefSeq lists it as uncharacterized. NCBI's taxonomy places the organism in Eukaryota, Metazoa, Arthropoda, Insecta, Hymenoptera, Apidae. The record is from RefSeq and is a predicted model, not a curated record. The transcript has 3 exons.